Molecule: transfer RNA, 72 nt
Filed under: Camelus bactrianus (Bactrian camel)
Lineage: Eukaryota; Metazoa; Chordata; Mammalia; Artiodactyla; Camelidae
Also listed under: 2 other names
Rfam family: tRNA
About the family: Transfer RNA (tRNA) molecules are approximately 80 nucleotides in length.
Source: Rfam by way of RNAcentral
GGGUGGGUAUCUCAGUGGUAAAGUGCAUGCCUAGCAUGCGUGAGGUCCUGGGUUCAAUCCCAAGUACCUCCA